CCUACGGGUGGCAGCAGUGAGGAAUAUUGGUCAAUGGACGAGAGUCUGAACCAGCCAAGUAGCGUGAAGGAUGACUGCUCUAUGGUUUGUAAACUUCUUUUAUAUGGGAAUAAAAUGCUCCACGUGUGGAUUUUUGUAUGUACCAUAUGAAUAAGGAUCGGCUAACUCCGUGCCAGCAGCCGCGGUAAUACGGAGGAACCGAGCGUUAUCCGGAUUUAUUGGGUUUAAAGGGAGCGUAGGUGGGUUGUUAAGUCAGUGGUGAAAGUUAGUGGCUCAACCGUAAAAUUGCGGUUGAAACUGGAAGUCUUGAGUGGAGUAGAGGUAGGCGGAAUGCGUGGUGUAGCGGUGAAAUGCUUAGAUAUCACGAAGAACUCCGAUUGCGAAGGCAGCUCACUGGGCUACAACUGACACUGAGGCACGAAAGUGUGGGUAUCAAACAGGAUUAGAUACCCCGGUAGUC
RNAcentral lists this ribosomal RNA (460 nucleotides) under uncultured bacterium. Its description in RNAcentral is "partial 16S ribosomal RNA". It matches the Rfam family "Bacterial small subunit ribosomal RNA", at positions 338 to 795 of the family's 1533-position model. The record is from RNAcentral.